This 3449-nucleotide unclassified non-coding RNA is filed under the name Hevea brasiliensis (rubber tree). The record is from RNAcentral. Lineage: Eukaryota; Viridiplantae; Streptophyta; Magnoliopsida; Malpighiales; Euphorbiaceae.
CUUCCAACCAUUCACCAAAAACAGUACUUCCAAGAAAUUCUGCAUCUAGACUUUUGUUUCUAAGUGAUUAUGCAUCAUUCACAGUGCUUGAGUGAACAAGAUAACUUUCACCUAGAGAGAUGUCUGGCAACCCAUUGACAACAAUGGCAAGUUCCAGGCAAUGAUUCUGAUUCUGGCUCUUUGCUUCUGCCAUCCAUUUCCAGUUCCCUUUCUGUUAAACAGCCUAGUGAGAAGAAGAAGGUGAAGCAGCUGCAAAACAGCUGUUUUUGGCAUUCCCAGCAUCAGCAAAGCCAAUUAGACCCUUCCACCUCACUGAUCGACCUCUCCAAACUAUUGAUUUCAUCAGGAAUUUGAAGGAGAAUCAGAUUGAAGAAAUUGGGAUUCAAACUUGCAGCAUUCGAUUGAAGCAACAAAGGCCUUGUUUCUGCGCAUUCUGCAUGGAGGUUGUCAUUGAGGUCACCCAAGCCUCCCCCAUUCCCUGCGCGGAAUGAGCACUUACAGCUGUGGCGCUCAAUGGUGGUGAUGCCUUGGAUUUUGUUCGUGUGGAGACGAAGUUGCAGACGAUGGAGGGGAAGGGAUGGAUGGAGCACCAAGAAGGAAUGAUUUUUUGAUAUUUUUGCCACCAAGAAAACAAAAUUCAGCUCAGGUUCCUCUUAUAACCCUAGCUUAGUAAAAUAAUUUCAAUUCUCGAUAUGCAUAAAUACCUUGCCAAAAUAAAAAGUCCAAGAAAAACCUAAUUUAAUACAACCACAAAUAAUUCUAUAAACAACAAUUUGCAUUCUAGGCUUCACUUCUCAAGAAAUCUGAGAAACAAACAGCAAGUCAAACACUUAAUAUAAAUGACACUAAAGUUCCUAAAUUGCCACAAUUAGGAAAAGCAAAUUAAAAAAGAAAAGGCUUGGAAUGUGCAUACCAGUGGGAAGUGCAAAGGCAAUAAGAAAUAAAGCAAUGCUUCGGCACUGUAAUUGGAAACAUUUUGGAGUUGAUCUUCAACGCUUUCUCCCAGAUUCCUUUGAGACCUUUCAAAAACCUUUUAAUUUCCCAAAUAGCAACCCAAAUCAACUGUGUCAGUUAUAAAGAAAGAAAUCAGAAUUGUAGUUUUGCCAGAAGUUGAAAGAGUUAUAGUUCCCAAAGCUUGUUUCAAUACUCAGAUUCCAAAUUGCCAUUGGAAAAAUGAAAGGGCAAUCUUGUGUAUGAAUGAUGAUUGAUUCUGAGCACAAGCACAAGAAGCAUUUUGCAUAAUGCUUGCUGCUAAUUGCAGUUAUAUAGAACAUCAUUGACUUCCUCCUCGUGUAUUUCAGGCACGUAUCCUAAAGUUAUCAUGUGGUCUACCAGACAAUCCAAUACACUAAGAAUUUCACUAAUUCUUGCGUUGGACCUGUCUUCUGCUCUAAAUCUCCAAACCUUGUUCUUUACUUCAAUCCAGCUAUAGCCAGGAUUUGUUUUAAGCCCUCUAUCUUUCAUCAAUUUCCUUACUCUCGCUGCCUGAUCCCAGCAACUCACACUUGCAUACAAAUUUGCCAAUUGCACAUGAGUAGCAGUGCAAUCUGGUUCCAACAAAAGCCUCCUCUCUGCAGCUUGUAUACCAAUCCAAACACUCCCAUGAAGCCUGCAGGAGGAUAAUAGAGAGCCCCAUAUAAUGGCAUUGGGAGACAAUGGCAUCCUUGAAAUAACAUCUUUUGCCUCUUCUAUCAACCCAGCACGGCCAAGAAGAUCAACUAGACAUGAAUAGUGGUCCAGUUCUGGCCUCACACCAUAUUCAACCAUUGAAUUGAAGUAAUUCCUUCCCCCUUCAACAUAACCUGCAUGGCGACAUGAAGAUAGAACAGCAAGAAAGGUAAUGGAGUCAGGUUUUAUGCCCAAAUUCUUCAUCUUUUCAAAAAGUUGAAUUGCCUGUACUGCCAGCCCAUGCUGCGCAUACCCACUAAUCAUUGAAUUCCAUGACACAAUGUCUUUAUCACACAUGUUCUCAAAUAUGUAUAAUGCAACUGGAACACUCCCACACUUGCAAUACAUUGAUAUAAGAGCAUUGGCAAUAUGUAAAUAGGAAUCAAAACCCAUUCGAAUUAUUUGGCAGUGAGCACUUCUCCCUUGCUCAAGAGCUCCACUGCCCGUACAAGCACUCAAAAGACUUGUAAAUGUGAAAUCAUUGGGUUUUAAUUUUGAAUUUCUCAUCACAGAGAAAAGCUCCAAACACACAUCAACCUGCCAUUCCUGUGCAAACCCAUAAAUGAUAGCUGUCCACGACACCACAGUUCUAAUAGGCAUUUCAUGAAACACUUUAUACGCACUAUCCAAUUCCCGGCAUUUUCCAUAUAAAGUAAUCAAAGAGCUGCCUACAUAGGCAUUGGCAACAAACCCAGUACAUACUGCUAAGCAAUGAUACUGAAUCCCAACUCGUAGAUCACGUGUGGAAGCACACAAACUCAAUGCACUGGACAAAGAGGCAGCAUCAGAUCUCAAACACACAGCAUUAGGCUCCUCAUUGUCCAGAAAAGAAGAUGCAAGUAUUUCAUCAAGCCCAUUUGAGAUUCCCUCUGCUGAGAUGGAGGCAGAAAUAUCGCUGCUCAAGUGUUGUUCACUAAUGUGAUUUGAAUUUGUUUCCAAAAAGUCUUGAAUUAGGCGAAGAUGGCUAUUGCGACCAGUGGCAGAAGUACCUGUUUUGGGAGCUAUGAUGUCUAGAAUUCUGAGAGCCUUGUCUAAAGGCUUGGUCAGUGUUGUACGUGUGAGUUUGUGAGCAGAGAAAGGCUCAUGGGAUGAUAGAGUAUGGAUCAGAUGUAUAGAGGGAGUGAGUUUGUUCCUGAUACAGGCUCUAAGUGAAAUAAUAUUCAUACCUAAGCAAAAUUCACCCCAUCAGCUGGCUUAAUUUAUAUGAGAUGCAGCUAAAGUCACCUCACCUGUGGGCUGUGGUCCAAAACAUAGUUUAUGGCAUAUUGGCAUCAGCAGACAGAUACAACACACAACACCCGCUGAGAUGAUAAUCCCAGUUUACACAGAUAUGAAGGAUUAAAACUUAGGCGCUGUGGUUUGUCUCUACCGUUUAUACGGCUUAACAUAGAAAGGAGCAGUGGCCGUAUCUGAACCCAAAACGACACAAUACCCAUAAACAAAAAUGACGAUCACUACCAGGCUGAACCUCAAACAGCAGUGAAGGACCUGCCAAAGAAGAGAACAAGACUGGAUGUCCUCAUCGCGGUCGGAAAGAGAAAAUUGGAAGCAGCGGCGACGUCAAUCUCAAUCGGAGCAAAGAAUAGGCCUGUUUCAAGGACUUUUCCACAAAUCGAAUAUGGGUUCAUAGCGUCGGCAUUGGCGAGAAAAUGGAAGUGAAGAUAUGUGAUGGCAUCAUCGAAGAACUUAGAACUAGAAGCUGGAUUUGGGUUUUUGGUAAUGGGUCUACGAGACAAGGAAAACAGCGACUGGGUUGGAGAAGAGUGAACUCUCAUGGCCUG